Molecule: non-coding RNA, 1077 nt
Organism: Arachis ipaensis
Lineage: Eukaryota; Viridiplantae; Streptophyta; Magnoliopsida; Fabales; Fabaceae
Source: RefSeq, a predicted model, not a curated record
AGGAUAAAUUAAGGCAAGUUAUACUUCUAAUACUGCAGUGUUAUUAGUAAACUUCAUCUCUAGAUUUCUGAUAAUUACUUUGUUCUCUUCCUCUGUUAAUCUUCUGAUGAAUGUAACAAUGUAGGAUCAAAAACAUCCGGUGGAGGAAAGCCUCUUCAUUGGACAUCCUGCCUCAAAAUCGCCAAGAUCUCGCGACCGCCCUACUCUACAUCCACCAAAACCCUGGCUUAACUCAUGGAAACCUUAAAUCUUCUAAUGUCUUGCUGGGUUCGGACUUCGAAUCCUGUCUUACUGAUUAUGGGCUCACCAUGCUCCUUAACCCUGACUCAAUGGAUGCUCAACAACACUAAAAUUGGGUGUAAUGCUUGUUGGGUGGGGUGGAAACAAUGGCAUCAAACUCACUGGUGGCGUUAUUGCAAAUCGAUAGUUAGUUUCAUUUCCCAGCAGUUUUUUGUUUUAUUUUUUUAUGAUUAUUGAGAAAUAAUGGUGUGGAAAUUGUGUGUAUUGUGUUCAGGGGAAUUUCAUGGGCAACGAAGGACAAGAUCCAACAAGCGAAUCACUUUGGGUCUCUGACUCAAGCCUCUGCUAUCAGAGUGGGAUCUUACCAAGGAGAGGAAAUUUAUGCCCCAUUCAAGAGCCUCCUCCCUCUGAGGAUCAUGAAAUUCUUUAGAAGCAUCAAGACUGAAAAACUGGCUUAGCAAAAGUUCGAAGGUCUAGAAAGCUUUCGGUAUUGUUUAUAUGCAUGGUGGCUAACUAUAAGCAUGCAUUUUUUUUGGCAUUUUUAUCAGGACGGAAAGAUUGAAGCCAAAUAGUUAAGCUUAUUGGAAUUCCCAGCUUAGGAGCAAUAAUGCCUGGAGAGCUUCGAAAAUAUGGAACCAUGAUUGCUCCAAGUCUAUAUGCUCCAGUUCAUCAACACUUCUUUGUUGCUCGCAUGGACAUGGCUGUUGAUUCUAAACCUAGUGAAGCUUUGGCCUUCCCUCGAGUCUAAAGAUGCUAAGUUUACCACUUUGUAGCAUAAUAUUUCAGUUUCAAGUUAACAUUGUUACUCUGUUAAUGUGUUUGGUGACUAUAAUGUUC